This 440-nucleotide ribosomal RNA is filed under the name uncultured bacterium. Its description in RNAcentral is "bacterial SSU rRNA". It matches the Rfam family "Bacterial small subunit ribosomal RNA", at positions 338 to 795 of the family's 1533-position model. The record is from RNAcentral.
CCUACGGGGGGCUGCAGUGGGGAAUACUGCACAAUGGGCGAAAGCCUGAUGCAGCAACGCCGCGUGAGCGAUGAAGGUCUUCGGGUCGUAAAGCUCUGUCCUAAGGGAAGAAUAUUGACGGUACCUUAGGAGGAAGCCCCGGCUAACUACGUGCCAGCAGCCGCGGUAAUACGUAGGGGGCUAGCGUUAUCCGGAAUUACUGGGCGUAAAGGGUGCGUAGGCGGCCCUUCAAGUCAGAGGUGAAAGGCUACGGCUCAACCGUAGUAAGCCUUUGAAACUGUAGGGCUUGAGUGCAGGAGAGGCGAUUGCAAUUCCCCGUGUAGCGGUGAAAUGCUUAGAUAUUGGGAGGAACACCAGUUGCGAAGGCGGCUCUCUGGCCUGUAACUGACGCUGAGGCACGAAAGCGUGGCGAGCUAACAGGAUUAGCUUCCCCGGUAGUC